GACGAACGCUGGCGGCGUGCUUAACACAUGCAAGUCGAACGGAAAGGUCCUGCUUUUGUGGGGUGCUCGAGUGGCGAACGGGUGCGUAACACGUGAGUAACCUGCCCUUGACUUUGGGAUAACUUCAGGAAACUGGGGCUAAUACCGGAUAGGAGCUCCUGCUGCAUGGUGGGGGUUGGAAAGUUUCGGCGGUUGGGGAUGGACUCGCGGCUUAUCAGCUUGUUGGUGGGGUAGUGGCUUACCAAGGCUUUGACGGGUAGCCGGCCUGAGAGGGUGACCGGCCACAUUGGGAAUGAGUUACGGCGCAGACUGCUACGGGAGGCAGCAGUGGGGAAUAUUGCAGAAUGGGCGGAAGCCUGAUGCAGAAGCGCCGCGUGCGGGAUGACGGCCUUCGGGUUGUAAACCGCUUUCGCCUGUGGCGAAGCGUGAGUGACGGUAAUGAGUAAAGAAGCACCGGCUAACUACGU
Molecule: ribosomal RNA, 467 nt
Filed under: uncultured bacterium
Lineage: Bacteria
Description: partial 16S ribosomal RNA
Rfam family: Bacterial small subunit ribosomal RNA
Source: RNAcentral